Molecule: long non-coding RNA, 376 nt
Filed under: Trifolium pratense (red clover)
Lineage: Eukaryota; Viridiplantae; Streptophyta; Magnoliopsida; Fabales; Fabaceae
Description: long non-coding RNA (TPRA_LNC004592)
Source: RNAcentral
CUUUAUCUCAUUGUUAUCUCAGAACACGACACCGCUUUUACUCUCUACGGUGAAACCGCUCCCGAUCUCGCUCCGAUCUCCUUCACACUGCGACCUUGCUCCGAUCUCAUUCUCGCUGCAAUCUCGCUCCGGUCUUGCUCCGUUCACGAUCUCGCUCCGAUAUGGACUCGAUUCUCUUCGUUGUAUUUCUCCUUCUCUCUAUAAAUUGUUGUUCGUUUUCUAUCCCUCUCAUGGUUGUUAUUCUUCGUUGAAAUUUGAUGUUCUCCACUGUUUCUUCUCCGAUUGUAGUGUAUGUUAAAUUUCGACACUCUAAUUUAGUUCCUUUUCACUAAUUGUGAUUUGGAUUUGAACCCUAUGAAUUUCAUGUUUAGGUUUU